RNAcentral lists this ribosomal RNA (315 nucleotides) under uncultured eukaryote. Its description in RNAcentral is "partial 18S ribosomal RNA". It matches the Rfam family "Eukaryotic small subunit ribosomal RNA", at positions 1470 to 1796 of the family's 1831-position model. The record is from RNAcentral.
CCCCUAGAUGUUCUGGGCCGCACGCGCGCUACACUGAUCAGUGCAACAAGCAUCCGUCCUUGGCCGACAGGCCCGGGCAAUCUUUGAACGCUGAUCGUGAUGGGGAUAGACUUUUGCAAUUUUUGGUCUUCAACGAGGAAUUCCUAGUAAACGCAAGUCAUCAACUUGCAUUGAUUACGUCCCUGCCCUUUGUACACACCGCCCGUCGCACCUACCGAUUGAAUGGUCCGGUGAAGCCUCCGGAUUGGCGCGCACCUCGGUGCCGCCGAGAAGUUGGCUAAACCUUACCAUUUAGAGGAAGGUGAAGUCGUANCA